This is a long non-coding RNA of Ceratosolen solmsi marchali, 155 nucleotides long. RefSeq lists it as uncharacterized. The transcript is spliced from 3 exons. NCBI's taxonomy places the organism in Eukaryota, Metazoa, Arthropoda, Insecta, Hymenoptera, Agaonidae. The record is from RefSeq and is a predicted model, not a curated record.
UCCCGAUUAUAAUUCCUGCGUUAUUGGUUGUCAAACUUCAGCCAGUGAUCAUGAGAAGACCGUAUGCCUUAAUAAAUGUAGCCAUAAUCUUAUUGGACGAUGAUAAAAUAUGGAAUGUAUUUUCUUCGAAAUAAACAAUAAAAAUUAUAUUUAGU